UACGUAGGGUGCAAGCGUUGUCCGGAAUUAUUGGGCAUAAAGCGCGUGUAGGCGGUCCGGUAAGUCCGCUGUGAAAGUCGAGGGCUCAACCCUCGAAUGCCGGUGGAUACUGUCGGGCUUGAGUACGGGAGAGGCGAGUGGAAUUCCUGGUGUAGCGGUGAAAUGCGCAGAUAUCAGGAGGAACACCGAUUGCGAAGGCAGCUCGCUGGAACGUUACUGACGCUGAGACGCGAAAGCGUGGGGAGCAAACAGG
This 253-nucleotide ribosomal RNA is filed under the name uncultured bacterium. Its description in RNAcentral is "partial 16S ribosomal RNA". It matches the Rfam family "Bacterial small subunit ribosomal RNA", at positions 524 to 776 of the family's 1533-position model. The record is from RNAcentral.